UUAAGCAUAUUAAUUAGGGGAGGAAAAGAAACUAACAAGGAUUUUCUUAGUAGCGGCGAGCGAAAAGAAAUCAGUUCAGCACUAAGUCACUUUGUCUAUAUGGCAAAUGUGAGAUGCAGUGUAUGGAGCGUCAAUAUUCUAGUAUGAGAAAUUAACGAUUUAAGUCCUUCUUAAAUGAGGCCAUUUACCCAUAGAGGGUGCCAGGCCCGUAUAACGUUAAUGAUUACUAGAUGAUGUUUCCAAAGAGUCGUGUUGCUUGAUAGUGCAGCACUAAGUGGGUGGUAAACUCCAUCUAAAACUAAAUAUAACCAUGAGACCGAUAGUAAACAAGUACCGUGAGGGAAAGUUGAAAAGAACUCUGAAUAGAGAGUUAAAUAGUACGUGAAACUGCUUAGAGGUUAAGCCCGAUGAACCUGAAUAUCCGUUAUGGAAAAUUCAUCAUUAAAGUUAUAAUAUUUAAACAAUAUUAUACAAAUAAUGUGCAUUUUUUCCAUAUAAGGACAUUGUAAUCUAUUAACAUAUUAAAUUUAUCAUAAAAUAUGGCUUAUAGUUUAUUCAAAUUAUUAUGCUUGCAUUUUAACAUAGAAUAAAUGUCAUUAAUUUGAUAAAGUGUUGAUAGACUAAUAAGAAUACAGUGCGUUAAUUUUUCGGAAUUAUAUAAUGGCAUAAUUAUCAUUGAUUUUUGUGUUUAUUAUAAGCACUUGUAUGAUUAACAAUGCGAAAGAUUCAGGAUACCUUCGGGACCCGUCUUGAAACACGGACCAAGGAGUCUAACAUAUGUGCAAGUUAUUGGGAUAUAAACCUAAUAGCGUAAUUAACUUGACUAAUAAUGGGAUUAGUUUUUUAACUAUUUUAUAGCUAAUUAACACAAUCCCGGGGCGUUCUAUAUAGUUAUGUAUAAUAAUAUUUAUAUUAUUUAUGCCUCUAACUGGAACGUACCUUGAGCAGAUAUGCUGUGACCCGAAAGAUGGUGAACUAUACUUGAUCAGGUUGAAGUCAGGGGAAACCCUGAUGGAAGACCGAAACAGUUCUGACGUGCAAAUCGAUUGUCAGAAUUGAGUAUAGGGGCGAAAGACCAAUCGAACCAUCUAGUAGCUGGUUCCUUCCGAAGUUUCCCUCAGGAUAGCUGGUGCAUUUUAAUGUUAUAUAAAAUAAUCUUAUCUGGUAAAGCGAAUGAUUAGAGGCCUUAGGGUCGAAACGAUCUUAACCUAUUCUCAAACUUUAAAUGGGUAAGAACCUUAACUUUCUUGAUAUGAAGUUUAAGGUUAUGAUAUAUUGUGCCCAGUGGGCCACUUUUGGUAAGCAGAACUGGCGCUGUGGGAUGAACCAAACGUAAUGUUACGGUGCCCAAAUUAACAACUCAUGCAGAAACCAUGAAAGGCGUUGGUUGCUUAAAACAGCAGGACGGUGAUCAUGGAAGUCGAAAUCCGCUAAGGAGUGUGUAACAACUCACCUGCCGAAGCAACUAGCCCUUAAAAUGGAUGGCGCUUAAGUUGUAUACCUAUACAUUACCGCUAAAGUAGAUGAUUUAUAUUACUUGUAAUAUAAAUUUUGAAACUUUAGUGAGUAGGAAGGUACAAUGGUAUGCGUAGAAGUGUUUGGCGUAAGCCUGCAUGGAGCUGCUAUUGGUACAGAUCUUGGUGGUAGUAGCAAAUAAUCGAAUGAGACCUUGGAGGACUGAAGUGGAGAAGGGUUUCGUGUGAACAGUGGUUGAUCACGAGUUAGUCGGUCCUAAGUUCAAGGCGAAAGCCGAAAAUUUUCAAGUAAAAAUAAAAUUUACUAUAUGUAAAAAUUAUAUACUUGAAUAAUUUUGAACGAAAGGGAAUACGGUUCCAAUUCCGUAACCUGUUGAGUAUCCGUUUGUUAUUAAAUAUGGGCCUCGUGCUCAUCCUGGCAACAGGAACGACCAUAAAGAAGCCGUCGAGAGAUAUCGGAAGAGUUUUCUUUUCUGUUUUAUAGUCGUACUACCAUGGAAGUCUUUCGCAGAGAGAUAUGGUAGAUGGGCUAGAAGAGCAUGACAUAUACUGUUGUGUCGAUAUUUUCUCCUCGGACCUUGAAAAUUUAUGGUGGGGAUACGCAAACUUCUCAACAGGCCGUACCAAUAUCCGCAGCUGGUCUCCAAGGUGAAGAGUCUCUAGUCGAUAGAAUAAUGUAGGUAAGGGAAGUCGGCAAAUUAGAUCCGUAACUUCGGGAUAAGGAUUGGCUCUGAAGAUUGAGAUAGUCGGGCUUGAUUGGGAAACAAUAAUAUGGUUUAUGUGCUCGUUCUGGGUAAAUAGAGUUUCGAUCAUUUAUGGUUGUAACUUGUUCCCCGGAUAGUUAGUUACGUAUCCAAUUGUGGAACUUUCUUGCUAAAAUUUUUAAGAAUACUAGUUGGGUCAAACCAAUUAGUUCUUAUUAAUUAUAACGAUUAUCAAUUAACAAUCAAUUCAGAACUGGCACGGACUUGGGGAAUCCGACUGUCUAAUUAAAACAAAGCAUUGUGAUGGCCCUAGCGGGUGUUGACACAAUGUGAUUUCUGCCCAGUGCUCUGAAUGUCAAAGUGAAGAAAUUCAAGUAAGCGCGGGUCAACGGCGGGAGUAACUAUGACUCUCUUAAGGUAGCCAAA
This 2605-nucleotide ribosomal RNA is filed under the name Drosophila ananassae. RNAcentral describes it as "eukaryotic LSU rRNA". It matches the Rfam family "Eukaryotic large subunit ribosomal RNA", at positions 34 to 2287 of the family's 3401-position model. Lineage: Eukaryota; Metazoa; Arthropoda; Insecta; Diptera; Drosophilidae. The record is from RNAcentral.